UACUAUAGCUAUGGUGUAGCUUCCAUCCAAAUGAGUCGCUGUUUGUCUAUUUGUAAAUUACUUUUUGGACAGGUCCGGUGCCCGGUGUGUUCCAGAUAUUAACCUUUGGGGAACGCUGGACCGAGACGCCUCAGAUGCAAGAAGGGCUGGGAAUGCUAUGGCAGAUGCGACGGUAGAUGGGCAGCGGUGCAUGAGCAGCCCACCUCUGGCCAGGUCAGAGGACCCACUCGCCUACUGGCUAAAUCACAGACAUCGUUACACCAACCUUUUCAAGCGGGCCAAAAGAUUUCUAUGCAUGCCAGCAUCUACUGUACCCUGCAGAAGAAUAUUCUCCAAAUGUGGAGAAAUUGUGAGCAAAAAAGAAACUGGUUAAAUCCCAAUACUGUGGAAAAAAUAACGUACCUCAAUAAAAACGUUGAGUCCACAGUUACACAAGAAUACCCAAGCUAUGGCAUAUUUUACCAGCAUUUUCUCCUUAACAAAACAAAGCUCACGUGUGCGCCUCCCGGUCACCAAUCGCGGCUCCAACCCUGCAGUGCAGGGCUCGCGGGUCGCCAGGAGAGGGCGCUAGAACUGCAACUUCAGCCACAGUGGCAUUUCCCCAGCCUGUUCCUGGAGCGCACACACAGGUGAGAUUUUGACUGGCCCAUGUAGACUAAGUGCUUGCACCGGGAUCAUAUCCAGCAAAGUUCUGAAAUCAGCUCUACAUUGCUGGGAUCUCAUAUUUACCACUUUUUUCUUUUACAUUAACUUACUACCUGCCUGAUAUGAUCCUUCCAGCUCAGCCUCUGGUCAAAGUAGAUCCCAAGGAAGCGGAAACUCUCAACCCUUUCUAACACACUCCCAUAUGUUUUUAGAUUGCUCUCUCCUACCCUCUUUCUUGUAAAAAAAACUUUGUCUUUUCAGAUGAAAACUUAAGGCCACAUUUAAUUCCCCAUCUUUCAACUUUACUUAUUACCUCCUGCAUCCUCUUGACAAUAUACUGGAAGUUCCUCCCUCUUGUCCAAGGAGCCCCAUCGUCAGAAAACAGCGACCUCCCCGUACCAUCGGGAAUACUUGGAAAUAUAUAUUCAAUCAUUUAUCAUUAGUGAAUAAAGAUUUGGACUGACCACUGAACGCUGUGUAGCGUUUUCAACGAUGUUUUGUCUUGACAUUUCUGCCCCCAUCCUCACCUGGAUGGAUCUAUCACUUCGCUUUUUUACCCACUCUCACUGCUAUUUUCCUGCUGGUAAGAAAGUUCCUGAUCCAUGCUGUUGAUGUGAUAUAAUUUCAUAAGCAGUCCAUCCUUUCCCAUCAUAUCAUAUCCUUUUUCUAUAUAAAAAAUACAGCAUUACACUUUCUUUAUUGAUCUGGACUGUCCUUAUCUCAUUCUCUAAAUGUAAAACCUACCGUGCUGCUUCUUUUCCUAAACCCACUUUUAUAUCAUUUUCAGUUUUUCCCUGGUUUCUAAAUAAGAGUUCAGCCUUUCAUUAAUCAUUU
This 1479-nucleotide long non-coding RNA is filed under the name Takifugu rubripes (torafugu). RNAcentral's name for it is "lncRNA (ENSTRUG00000027291.1)". Lineage: Eukaryota; Metazoa; Chordata; Actinopteri; Tetraodontiformes; Tetraodontidae. The record is from RNAcentral.